Molecule: long non-coding RNA, 784 nt
Organism: Nothoprocta perdicaria
Lineage: Eukaryota; Metazoa; Chordata; Aves; Tinamiformes; Tinamidae
Exons: 2
Source: RefSeq, a predicted model, not a curated record
AGGAGUUGCCUUUAUUGCUAGGAAAAGUGUUUUAGAUUUUUUUUUUAAUAAUUUUUUUUGUUAAUUUUUUUCUCUCUCUCCUAUUUACUCAAGAGAAAAGCUUAAUGAUCUUUUCUGGAAAGGAAACAAGCUGUGACAGAACUUGCUCACUGAAGAAUGAGAUGACUUCAGGGAGUAGAUGCACGUGGCUACUCUUCCCGAUCCCAGAUACAGCUUGUAAUGCUCUGUGCGCCUGCAGGAAUACAUGAAAACCAGCAUCAAAAACAAAGAAGUAGCUUUAGCACGUUGACAGUAUCCAGCAUGAGUCGUUAGAAGUGCUUCUUUCAGCAUUCUUUUCAGGCUGCAUCACCAAAAGUUUGCAUUUGUAACUGCAUGAGAGUGGGAUGGAUAGGGUGCAUGAGAGUGGGAUGAGCCAUGCAUGUGAUACAGCUGUCUUGAAGAAAUUGUGUUACUGAUACCCUGCUGUGGUACCCUGGGCAGAUUCUCCUGCUGAACUAAAAACAUUGCAGGACUGCUGCUUUGCAUGUUACCAGGCUGUUAUUCAUAGUGUCCAUUGGAAACACCCAAGGCAAACACCAGAAACAAGAGUGAGGGUAAGAUUGAUGGCCUCACCUUGUACUGCUGUGAGCUUCCUGGCCAUGAAGAGAAUAAGAAUGUACCUGAAAAUAUUAUGGAAAAAUAAGAAAUGUAAUCUGCAUUACCAAUUGGCUCCAUGUUUAUUUAGAUAUAUUAAGCCUGAAUCAAAUGUACAUUUAUGCUGCUUUUUCUUAGGUUUGCCGUUUUU